AUGGAGGCCUGCGAGAUCGUGCGCCUACCGGAGGAGCUCUUGACGGUGGCGCUCUCCCGCACGUCGCUGCGCGACGCCUGCUGCGCCGCGGCGAUCUCCCCGGCCUUCCGUGCCAUCGCCGACUCGGACGCCGUCUGGGCCUGCUUCCUGCCGCCGCUUGCUGACGUCCCGCCGCUGGCCGAUGGAGAGCCGCUGCCGGCGCGCGGGAAGAAGGACCUGUUCCUCCGCCUCUCCGGCAGAUCCGUCCUCCUUUUAGGCGGACUCAUGAGCAUGUGGCUGGACAGGGAGACCGGCGCCAAGGGGUCAAUAGCUCCUGUGCGACAUCUUUCGUGGGAAUUGGACGGAGAGGGACGUUGUGAAUGA
RNAcentral lists this ribosomal RNA (363 nucleotides) under Triticum aestivum (bread wheat). RNAcentral describes it as "partial small subunit ribosomal RNA". The record is from RNAcentral. Lineage: Eukaryota; Viridiplantae; Streptophyta; Magnoliopsida; Poales; Poaceae.